RNAcentral lists this ribosomal RNA (277 nucleotides) under uncultured Candidatus Cloacimonas sp. Its description in RNAcentral is "partial 16S ribosomal RNA". It matches the Rfam family "Bacterial small subunit ribosomal RNA", at positions 1106 to 1382 of the family's 1533-position model. Lineage: Bacteria; Pseudomonadati; Candidatus Cloacimonadota; Cloacimonadia (SeqCode); Cloacimonadales (SeqCode); Cloacimonadaceae (SeqCode). The record is from RNAcentral.
UUCCUUCAGUUACCAUCAUUAAGUUGGGGACUCUGGAGGUACCGCUGCAGUAACAAUGCAGAGGAAGUGGGGACGACGUCAAGUCAUCAUGGUCCUUAUGUCCAGGGCUACACACGUGCUACAAUGGUAGAUACAGAGGGAAGCGAGAUAGUGAUAUGGAGCGAAUCUCAGAAAAUCUGCCACAGUUCGGAUUGGGGUCUGCAACUCGACCCCCAUGAAGCUGGAAUCGCUAGUAAUCGCGCAACAUCAUGGCGCGGUGAAUACGUUCCCGGGCCUU